UUGCACACAGCUGCAACCUUUGCGAUCGUCUCAAGGUUCACAUCGAUGCUCCCAGCAGGCCAGUCAUGAAUUUUCCCAUCCCGGGGAUCAUAGGUCGUCCCUUCCACCUUGAAGCUCCUAACUUCCCCUGAAGAAUCACCUAUUGCCACAAGUUUUGCCACUGACAUCUGGUUUGUGGUCAGCGUUCCAGUCUUGUCCGAGCAAAUCACGGUGGUGCAGCCCAGGGUCUCCACACUCGGCAGCUUCCUCACCAGUGCAUUUUUGGCUGCCAUCUUCCUUGUCCCAAGCGCGAGGCAUGUGGUGAUCACGGCAGGUAGGCCCUCAGGUAUGGC
RNAcentral lists this long non-coding RNA (332 nucleotides) under Setaria viridis. RNAcentral describes it as "long non-coding RNA (SVIR_LNC002541)". Lineage: Eukaryota; Viridiplantae; Streptophyta; Magnoliopsida; Poales; Poaceae. The record is from RNAcentral.